GCCCUCGUAGCCCAACUGGAAGUGGCAACGGACUCAGACUCCGUUCAGUGUCGGUUCGAAUCCGACCGAGGGUA
RNAcentral lists this transfer RNA (74 nucleotides) under Kofleriaceae bacterium. RNAcentral's name for it is "tRNA-Leu". It matches the Rfam family "tRNA". From Rfam's summary of the family: Transfer RNA (tRNA) molecules are approximately 80 nucleotides in length. Lineage: Bacteria; Pseudomonadati; Myxococcota; Haliangiales; Kofleriaceae. The record is from RNAcentral.